Molecule: ribosomal RNA, 494 nt
Filed under: Salmonella enterica subsp. enterica
Lineage: Bacteria; Pseudomonadati; Pseudomonadota; Gammaproteobacteria; Enterobacterales; Enterobacteriaceae
Description: bacterial SSU rRNA
Rfam family: Bacterial small subunit ribosomal RNA
Source: RNAcentral
UUAAAUUGAAGAGUUUGAUCAUGGCUCAGAUUGAACGCUGGCGGCAGGCCUAACACAUGCAAGUCGAACGGUAACAGGAAGCAGCUUGCUGCUUCGCUGACGAGUGGCGGACGGGUGAGUAAUGUCUGGGAAACUGCCUGAUGGAGGGGGAUAACUACUGGAAACGGUGGCUAAUACCGCAUAACGUCGCAAGACCAAAGAGGGGGACCUUCGGGCCUCUUGCCAUCAGAUGUGCCCAGAUGGGAUUAGCUUGUUGGUGAGGUAACGGCUCACCAAGGCGACGAUCCCUAGCUGGUCUGAGAGGAUGACCAGCCACACUGGAACUGAGACACGGUCCAGACUCCUACGGGAGGCAGCAGUGGGGAAUAUUGCACAAUGGGCGCAAGCCUGAUGCAGCCAUGCCGCGUGUAUGAAGAAGGCCUUCGGGUUGUAAAGUACUUUCAGCGGGGAGGAAGGUGUUGUGGUUAAUAACCGCAGCAAUUGACGUUACCCGC